GGCUCAGAACGAACGCUGGCGGCGCGCCUAAUACACGCAAGUCGAGCGAGAAGACGUAGCAAUACGUUUGUAAAGCGGCGAACGGGUGAGGAAUACAUGGGUAACCUACCCUCGAGUGGGGAAUAACUAACCGAAAGGUUAGCUAAUACCGCAUACGGCUCCUGGUCUGCGGAUCGGGAGAGAAGGCGAUACCGUGGGUAUCGCGCUCUUGGAUGGGCUCAUGUCCUAUCAGCUUGUUGGUGAGGUAACGGCUCACCAAGGCUUCGACGGGUAGCUGGUCUGAGAGGACGAUCAGCCACACUGGCACUGCGACACGGGCCAGACUCCUACGGGAGGCAGCAGUAAGGAAUAUUGCGCAAUGGGCGACAGCCUGACGCAGCGACGCCGCGUGGGGGAUGAAGGUCUUCGGAUUGUAAACCCCUUUCGGCAGGGAAGAUGGAACGGGUAACCGUUCGGACGGUACCUGCAGAAGCAGCCACGGCUAACUUCGUGCCAGCAGCCGCGGUAAUACGAAGGUGGCAAGCGUUGUUCGGAUUUACUGGGCGUACAGGGAGCGUAGGCGGUUGGGUAAGCCCUCCGUGAAAUCUCCGGGCCUAACCCGGAAAGUGCAGAGGGGACUGCUCAGCUAGAGGAUGGGAGAGGAGCGCGGAAUUCCCGGUGUAGCGGUGAAAUGCGUAGAGA
Molecule: ribosomal RNA, 681 nt
Filed under: uncultured nitrite-oxidizing bacterium
Lineage: Bacteria
Description: bacterial SSU rRNA
Rfam family: Bacterial small subunit ribosomal RNA
Source: RNAcentral